GUCAGCAAAUCUGGUUAAAGUUUUUCCUCCUUGGAGCUGAUUGACGUGUGAUAAUCACGUGUGAUGCUAUGUGUCUUUAAUAAACAAGACUUUGGUCACUUUGGAGAUUACCCUGUUUAUGUGGUAUUACGUACAUAUAUACCAAAAGAAAUGUGUUGAUAUAUGAUUAUGCACUAUGAUAGGUUUAUCUAAUUACCUUCACUUUUAAUACAGACAUCCGACAGUUUUGAUUCAGAC
RNAcentral lists this long non-coding RNA (237 nucleotides) under Mytilus galloprovincialis (Mediterranean mussel). Lineage: Eukaryota; Metazoa; Mollusca; Bivalvia; Mytilida; Mytilidae. The record is from RNAcentral.